CAAAAGGUUCCCGACUUUAUCCGGUUUCCGCAACCGUAAUCAUUUGUCAUUUCGAUUACUUCAUCCAUCAACCUUUUUUUCAAUAGCGGUACGCUCUAAAGUAAAGGAUAAGCUUGCAUUCUAGAAGCGGUAGCUUCCCGCCUCCUUCAUUUCUACUGCCUCCUUCGGUGAUAAAAGUUCCCUUCCCUUUUCUAAAAUGCCCGAUUGGUCUGCCUCAGCAAAUGUACAAAGUGGACCGCUGUUUGGCUGACCCUCUUCUUCCCAUUUGGGUUGGG
Molecule: long non-coding RNA, 275 nt
Filed under: Phaseolus vulgaris (common bean)
Lineage: Eukaryota; Viridiplantae; Streptophyta; Magnoliopsida; Fabales; Fabaceae
Description: long non-coding RNA (PVUL_LNC002988)
Source: RNAcentral